RNAcentral lists this long non-coding RNA (1830 nucleotides) under Homo sapiens (human). RNAcentral's name for it is "HSALNT0343560". The record is from RNAcentral. Lineage: Eukaryota; Metazoa; Chordata; Mammalia; Primates; Hominidae.
GCAUUACCGCCUGAGCUCCGCUUCCUGUCGGGUCAGCAGCGGCAUUAGCGUCUCAUAGGAGCAUGAACCCUACUGUGAACUGCGCAUGCGAGGGAUCUAGGCUGCGCGCUCCUUAUGAGAAUCUAACGCCUGAUGACCUAUCACUGUCUCCCAUCACUCCCAGAUGGGACCGUCUAGUUGCAGGAAAACAAGCUCAGGGCUCCCACUGAUUCUACAUUAUGAUCAACUGCAUGGGGUCCUACAGGAGAAGACCAAGAGACAGAGACAGAGACCAGGGAAAAUGACCGAUACCAUUCCUUCUCAGGGAUGCUACACACCCAUGGGGCAGAGGAUAAGAGGUUCCUGAAGGCAUCACCCCUCUGGCCAUGGCUGGUGUGCAGACAAAGCUGGAGAUUUGGAGUAGCCUGUUGUCCCACUGACUCUUAGACUGCCCCAGCUAAGAAGAACCAACUCCUCCUAUUACAGAUGAAAUAAACAAAGCUACUCAAGCUCUCUGGCAUCGCCCUGACGGUCAUCAUGUGCUUCACAUUUCCCUCCUGCCCCCCCUGAUUUUCUGGAAAAGGGAGAAACACACCAAAGAGAGUUCUAGAAAAAAUGAGAAUAAGAAAUUUACCUGUAAUCCUUGCUCAAGAAACUGAAGCUCUGAGGCCACAUUGUUCCAGCCUUUUGCAGCUCCUGCAUGUGGAUACCAGCACCAGCAGCUCCCCGACCAGGGGCCCCAGCUAAGCCCUCCCAGAGGAUGAUCUUGGCUUUGUACAUGGGGUGUCAAUAUCCUGUGAGUCCAACAGAGGGAAGACAUAAGAAUAUGGUCACCCAGGUUUCCUCUGGCCCCAUACUGGGAUCCAUUCCUGGGACAACUAGAAGUGCCAGGGAGUUAAAGCCCCAAGAGCGACCUUCAAGCCAAUAAGAGAUGGAGUUGGAAUGAAAACCUCAGCUUCCUCAUACCUCAGUGGGACAAUCCUGAGAUGUGUUCCUCAAGUCUCUCCAAGGACCUGAUGGGACUGAGUCCUGGUUGCUCAUGAGAGAAACCAGCAGGACUGGAUGUCAGUGAUUGCACCAUGCAGGAUUACAGAUUGUGCUGAGUUUAGAUUUUCUGCCUUCCUCCUCAGUUGUCAGGCUGCUAGCCAGCUCUUCUGCUCCCAUGACACCUGCAUCGAAUGCCUGCCCUUUCCUUACUACAAGACCCUUUCCAGUUCCCAGAUUAGAAUCUGCCACAGGCUAGGAAUCCCACAUCCCAGUAGUGAUUUGGCUCCAAGUGCAAAGGCACCUAGUGUCUGCCUUUUGUUCAGCAGCUUGGUGAUGGACAUAUCCAGGACUCAGAGACCCCUUUCCCUCAGCUCUCUGAGUUGGAAGCUGUCAGGUGCAGAAGGGCAACAUCUUACAUACACAGGGUUUGGGCAGGUCUGGGCAGUGCCUGGUUAAUGUUAAAUAAUGCAGAUAAAGGAAUUGUUGACAUCUGAAAGUCAAUAUGAAAAUUGUAUGCACUGCUGUGACUCAUGCAACUUCACUCCCAGCCCUGGUUCUCAUGAUUCCAGAAGUGGAAAAAAUAAGGCAACUCUUUUCCUCACAAUUCAAAAAAAUACCUAUUGAGCAACAUCAGCUUGGCCCACACAAGACAAUUUUUAUCCCUUCCGUUAGUUAACUUUGCUUUGGCCAAAGGCCAGAAAAACCUCAUUCUUUACAGGCAACCUCAGACCACCAUCCUGGAUCCACUUCAAAAACUAACUGCAGACCUGUGUCUUACUAGAGGUGAUUUGGUAGCAUUGAAGAUCAAAUCCCGAUUUAAAAAAUUAAAAAAAAAAUGAACAUAAAAUGCAUUUUUAACAAUGU